This is a non-coding RNA of Danionella cerebrum, 72 nucleotides long. The record is from the annotation of a GenBank genome assembly. NCBI's taxonomy places the organism in Eukaryota, Metazoa, Chordata, Actinopteri, Cypriniformes, Danionidae.
GGCUCCUUGGUCUAGGGCUAUUAUCCUUGCUUAGGGUGCGAUAGGUCCCUGGUUCAAAUCCCAGAUGAGCCC